RNAcentral lists this ribosomal RNA (253 nucleotides) under uncultured bacterium. RNAcentral's name for it is "partial 16S ribosomal RNA". It matches the Rfam family "Bacterial small subunit ribosomal RNA", at positions 524 to 776 of the family's 1533-position model. The record is from RNAcentral.
UACGAAGGGGGCUAGCGUUGUUCGGAAUCACUGGGCGUAAAGCGCACGUAGGCGGAUUUUUAAGUCAGGGGUGAAAUCCCGGGGCUCAACCUCGGAACUGCCUUUGAUACUGGAGAUCUUGAGUCCGGAAGAGGUAAGUGGAACUGCGAGUGUAGAGGUGAAAUUCGUAGAUAUUCGCAAGAACACCAGUGGCGAAGGCGGCUUACUGGUCCGGUUCUGACGCUGAGGCGCGAAAGCGUGGGGAGCAAACAGG